GCGGAUAUGCCGGAGCGGUCAAACGGGCUAGCUUGAGGUGCUAGUGGCUUAGUGCCUGCGCAGGUUCGAUUCCUGUUAUCCGCA
This 84-nucleotide transfer RNA is filed under the name Candidatus Woesearchaeota archaeon. RNAcentral's name for it is "tRNA-Leu". It matches the Rfam family "tRNA". From Rfam's summary of the family: Transfer RNA (tRNA) molecules are approximately 80 nucleotides in length. Lineage: Archaea; Nanobdellati; Candidatus Woesearchaeota. The record is from RNAcentral.